This is a long non-coding RNA of Helianthus annuus (common sunflower), 3577 nucleotides long. RefSeq lists it as uncharacterized. The record is from RefSeq and is a predicted model, not a curated record. Lineage: Eukaryota; Viridiplantae; Streptophyta; Magnoliopsida; Asterales; Asteraceae. The transcript is spliced from 11 exons.
AUCAAAUGUUGACCCACAAACUUCUUGAUUUUUUUGGUUUUGAUGGCUUCCAUUUUCACUUAUAAACUGCUAUAUUUUUGUGUUGUUAGUGCUUUGUUUUUUAGAAAGAAAGAAGACUAAUUUUUUCGUAUUCAAAAGUGUGUUUGAAACAUGUUGCAGCUGAUACAUUUUAAGGUUUCAAUGUUUUGAAGAAAGAAAGUAAGCAUAGUUUUUCUUUUAAUUUGAUAUGAGAAAAAGGUUGCAACUCAAAAUGUGGUAUUUAAUAUAUUUGUUGGUUUCACAGUAUCUUUAAUAUUUGAAAUUUUCUAUUAGUUCUUAAGGUUUUGAUUUAUGUAACACAAUCUUUGCACAUUAUUUAUAUUCUUGAGGGUGAUUUUAUAGCUAAAUGAUAUAUAUAAACUUUGGGGUUGUUUCGGUAACUACGGGGUUCUUUCGCUCGACUUUUUAUGCAAGUAUUAUAUUUUGAAGCUUAAUUCAUUUACUUUUUAUAAUCUUAUUUAAUUUAAUACUUUUGGAUUAGCUUUUAUGGUUAUGUUUUCUGUUUCAGCAUCAUAUUAGGGACCAAAAUGGAAGCAAAUUUUUUAUUUCUUUCUAAAAAAACAACUAAUAGACUUUUGGGCUGUUUAGCGUCACUCUGCAAACGCCAAGUCAUGAGGUGCAUUUGUAGCCUCGAAACCAAUUGAAUUCACUGGCACUUCACUUUCUUUUGUUUUCAAUUUUUUUAUUUUGUUACUGUUAUUUAAAAAAACUUAAAAAGAAUACCAACAAAGCUUAUUCGUUCUGGUUAUAUAUAUAUAUUACGACUAUAUUUUUUUCUCUCUUUCGAACGCAUCGAACCCGACCGGUUUCCACCUGCCUUACAUUCUGUUUCAGCAUCAAUGAAGCUUUCUUUCAAUAUAAAGGUUGUUGAAAUUGUGAUCAAAACUAAAUAGAUCAGAUGUAACUUAUCAAUGUCUGAAGUGAGCUCAUGAAUAACGUCCAUUAAUGAUCAAGGUAAUACGCAUACAUGAAAAUUUGUUCAUCCACUUCUUCCUUCUCUGCCAAAACCACCAUUCUCCGCUUGAUUAAUUGGUGAAUCAGGUAAGAAAUCCUUCGGUCCUUAUUUUAUGAUGUAUAGAUGUGGCAUCGGUGCGUUGCAAGAGUUUGGGUUGUAAUUGGGAGCUUAUGUAUAUGAGUUAAGGUUAAAUCUUUAGUAUGAAGUUUGAGAUUUGUAAAUCACCGACAUGAAAUUCCUUUUUAUAUAUGAAUGGGUCAAUUUGAGUUGCAAUUUUAUCUAAGUUUUACCAAAAGUGUCAAAUAAUUUUUUUAAUAUGUCAAAUAAAUCAUAUAGUUUUUAUUACAUUCCAAUUCUCAAUUUGCUAUACAUAUACUUUCUGAUAAAUCAGUUGUUAACGAACUGUUGAUUCUGUAAUGUUUCACACUCAUGGAUUGACAGGCUAAAAAGAAUGGAAACCAAUUUGAUAUAUCAGAGUUUCGAGCUCAGCUUGAUGCAUUGGGUUUGAAAAUUAUAGACGUUACAGCAGACGGAAAUUGCUUUUUCAGGUUUUGAACAUGCCUCUCUGGACUCAUCUAUAUCCGUGAUGGAUAUCUUGAAAUCACUUUCUUAUUUAAAGACCGGAUUUAUGGUUGAGCUAAAUGGUAUAGUCUCAUUUAGGAAUACUUGGUACCUCAAGAAUACAUCAAUACAUUGAGGGAGUCAAUGUUGAAUAGAUGUCCGACAUCUUCCUUUGUUUUUUAUAGUAUUAAUCUAAAUCUGUUUCAUUUGAAAGAUAUAAUUUUGACUCGGUGGUGGGUCAAACUCAAGAAGCAGUGGCACAACAUGAAUAAAACAGACCAAGGGUGCCGCUUUCUCUGACGUAGAGAGAUUUAAAGAUAACUAACUGUUGUUAUAUGUGGACGGCAGCAGCGCUGACUAUGUGUUCUGGUUCAGUGAAGGCAGCCUAGCGGAGUUAGGGUUUGGUAAGAGAUGAUGUCGGCUGGAAGUUUUAGGAUUUUGAUGAUGUCUGGUUAACUCCGGUGACCUGAACCAGUUUGGCUGCGAUUUCGACAACAUCAAUCUGAAUAAGUAUUUGAAUCAGGCACCUUUGAUACAACACAUAUGUGUUGCUGGCGAUUGUUAGUUGUUUUGAAGUUUUUGUUAAGGUAUUGAAAUAGUCUUUGUUUUGAAUCUUUUGGAAACAUAUUUCAGAAUUUUGCAGUUAAAAAGUGACGAUGGCAGCCUAGAGGGGUUAAAGUUUGGUAAGAAAUGAUGGCGGCUGGAAGUUUUAGGAUUCUAACGAAGUCUGUUUAACUCCGAUGAGAACUCGGUGACCUGAACCAGGGUUACGCAUGAAGGAGAGGAAGAAGAAAGAUGAACUGUUAAGCUCUCAAGACUAGAAGGCACAACUGAACAUACCCGCAACAGAUACCCGUUACAGGACUGAGAUUAUCUUUCUUCUUCAUUCGAUUUCCGCGAAGAAGGAAUCAUGUGUUAACUGCAAACCUUAAUUGUCGAACUCUCCACCACAAACCGUUUAUUAUGUGAUACACAAAGGAGUUACAAUUGGUUGGAUUUGUAUUCGUGUCGCGCAACUUUAGGAUCGGUGGUUUCAAGGCAUUCUGGAUGAAGACAGUGAUGACAGGGGAGACUUGUGCUCUUUAACUUUUACAAGUUGACAGGGGAGACUUCUUGCUCGGGUUGUUACUGGUCUUGCACUAUUGUACACGGAGUUGUCAAAAGCGAGCGCUUUUUCUGGGCGACUCGCAUUAACUGCGCUUAUGGUUCGUAGUAUUUAUAGGGCUGUAAGUUUAAGUUCGUAUAUCACAUGUAAAUUCUGCCAAAAAGUGACGAAAAGAUAGCCGUCAAAAUGUAUAAAGUUGCUGGUGAAGAGAGGUUUUUGCUCUGGCCAGUUUGUAUUAGUUUCCUUCACAAGUUCACAACUUAAUCGUGGUGAUCCAUGGAGUGUGCAUAGAAUAUGAACCACACUAAAGACGACCGCAGACGUGGAUAUGUGUAGUGUUUUGUGUCCACAACUUAUGAUGCUUUUGGUGGCGUUGAUUGUUGGUGAUUGCGGCGGCAGAGAUGGUUGGUGUGGUUGUGGCGGAGAUGGUUGAUGGUGGCUAUGGUGGUGGCGGAUUAGCGAUGGUUUGAUGGUGGCAAUGUGGUUGACGGUGGCUGCGGUGGUGGCAAUGUGGUUGACGGUGGCUGCGGUGGUGGUGAUGGUUGACGGUGGUGGCAUUGGUUGACGGUGGCUGUGGUGGUGGCGUUCGUUGACGGUAGCUAAGGUGGUGGCUUCGUUUCAUGGUGGUUGUCGCAGAGGCGAUUAUAGUGAUUAUACUGACUGUUAAAAUGAGGCAAUACAAAAGGAAAAGUGCAGACAUCGAAAUAGUGGAAAAAGAGGACCUUUAUCUUGAAGAGCAAAUUCAAGAUUUUAUAGAUUGUAAGACAUAUUAAUUAGUAAUGUUCAAUAUUCUUUUUGUUUUUACAAAUUUUAAGUGGAGUUGUCAGGGGAGCUCUAGAGAUGGUAUGGUUUAUCUGACCCGACACGUUUUUCUUACGUUAAACUUAGAAUAAAGUGAUGCCAACACGUUUUUCUCA